UACAGAGGUGGCAAGCGUUGUUCGGAAUUACUGGGCGUAAAGGGCGCGUAGGCGGCCUUCUAAGUCAGACGUGAAAUCCCCAGGCUUAACUUGGGAACUGCGUCUGAUACUGGGAGGCUUGAGUGCGGGAGAGGGAUGUGGAAUUCCAGGUGUAGCGAUGAAAUGCGUAGAUAUCUGGAGGAACACCGGUGGCGAAGGCGGCAUCCUGGACCGACACUGACGCUGAGGCGCGAAAGCCAGGGGAGCAAACGGG
Molecule: ribosomal RNA, 253 nt
Filed under: uncultured bacterium
Lineage: Bacteria
Description: partial 16S ribosomal RNA
Rfam family: Bacterial small subunit ribosomal RNA
Source: RNAcentral